UCGCUUCCGCAGCUCGUGCACUGAAAUUGGAACGAUGCGGAGAUUAGCAUGGCCCCCAUGGAGGGAUGACAUUCAAAUUCAUGAAGCAUUCCAUGUUAAA
RNAcentral lists this small nuclear RNA (100 nucleotides) under Meriones unguiculatus (Mongolian gerbil). The record is from RNAcentral. Lineage: Eukaryota; Metazoa; Chordata; Mammalia; Rodentia; Muridae.